UAACACUUGCGGUGUGGUCCAUAUCGGUUAGGUUUGAUGUGGAUGAGAAGGUCGGAUAAAGGCCACUAAGUUAAGCCGAGGAAGUGAGUUUGUGAAGUGCCGCGAUUCAAUCACUCCUCGGUUUUGCUAA
This 130-nucleotide non-coding RNA is filed under the name Pantoea ananatis LMG 5342. RNAcentral's name for it is "RT-12 RNA". It matches the Rfam family "RT-12 RNA". From Rfam's summary of the family: Proteobacteria. Nearby to self-splicing intron genes The record is from Rfam by way of RNAcentral. Lineage: Bacteria; Pseudomonadati; Pseudomonadota; Gammaproteobacteria; Enterobacterales; Erwiniaceae.